RNAcentral lists this long non-coding RNA (1040 nucleotides) under Capsella grandiflora. Its description in RNAcentral is "long non-coding RNA (CGRA_LNC000823)". Lineage: Eukaryota; Viridiplantae; Streptophyta; Magnoliopsida; Brassicales; Brassicaceae. The record is from RNAcentral.
AAUGACCGACGCAUCGAAGAAGACACGGUCACCGGGACAUGUCCAUGGACUGUUGGGAGGUAGAAGUUCCUCUUGACAUAUGUUUUUGAUAGAGUUUAAUUGCCACCAUGCGACCGUUAUGUUGAUUGUUCCCGCAAGAAUUGUACCAAUGAAUUGAACCAAGAACAUGGAUCUUGGUGGGAUCUUCAUGUAAUGACCAAGUUUGAAGUCAUUUAAGAAAGAGACAGCUUGAGCCAUACUCAUGUAUCCAUAGACUUUGAAGCAUACGUUUGCGAUAGGUCGUCCCGGGUAAAUGAGUCCCAUUGCGUACUCUGUUAUUAUAUUCAACCCCGGUGUCUGCGAAACACGUAAAGAAAAUGAAUAGCUUGUAACUGCAAGUAUAAACUAGCCAUGGAAUAAUAUUUGGUUAAUAUUGCUUACUUGGUUAGUUGUUGCAGUUAUGAUGCUUAUGGGAAGUGUGAAGAUGAAAGCCAUGGCGCUUGCGAACACAAGUCCCCACCAAGGCAUUUGAACCUCAUCGUUCAAGAAAACACAUAACGCAAGAGAGAUAAGUAGUGUAACAGCCAACAUCGAGUAAAACCACCACGAAGGUAUGUCUUUAUAUCUCUUCAUUAACCUAGUGUGUAUAUCUUCUUUGCCUUUGUAUGAAACUCGAAACCUCUCUACAAUUUCCCUGUAGAUGAAAAUUAAAUAAAAUGAUUUGAGUAAUUACAUAUAUAUAUAUAUAUAUAUCACUUAUGCAGUUUACCAAAUUAAGACUGCUGCUAUGUUGUUAUGUUGUUUGCUUUACCUGCCAUAGAAGAGAGCUACAUGAGUGAGUGUAGCAGCAAUGGUGGCGAAACCAAGCCCAUAGGUAAGAGCGAAGAACAUGCUCAAGUUGAUCCUUCCUUGUUGCUCAUACUUAGCUAGAUCGAGUUCAAAGUUAUCAUUCACGAUGGCAGGAAUAUCGUAUGUGUUGCCAACCGAUGUGAAAAGAUGUGACGAAAAUAUAGGAAACCUCGUGGCGUUGUAAGAAUCAAAACCCCAAUAACCAAUAGGCA